Molecule: ribosomal RNA, 522 nt
Filed under: Triticum aestivum (bread wheat)
Lineage: Eukaryota; Viridiplantae; Streptophyta; Magnoliopsida; Poales; Poaceae
Description: partial small subunit ribosomal RNA
Source: RNAcentral
UUCAAGGAGAGGGAAAUUAAGGAGGGCCCUUGGGAGGAAGGAGGGGAUGCGGACAAUGUGUGGAUGAAGAUGGCGACUUGCAUUCGUAAGGUGGCCUUGGAGGAGUUUGGAGUGUCCAGGGGAAGGAGAAGCGAAGAUAAGGAUACCUGGUGGUGGAAUGAUGAUGUCCAGAAGGCGAUUAAAGAGAAGAAAGAUUGCUUCAGAUGCCUAUACCUGGAUAGGAGUGCAGACAACAUAGAGAAGUACAAGAUGGCGAAGAAGGCUGCAAAGCAAGCUGUUGGUGAAGCAAGGGGUCGGGCAUAUGAGGACCUCUACCAACGGUUAGGCACGAAGGAAGGUGAAAGGGACAUCUAUAAGAUGGUUAAGAUCCGGGAGAGGAAGACGAGGGAUAUUGGCCAAGUCAAAUGCAUCAAGGACGGAGCAGGCCAACUCUUGGUGAAGGACGAACAGAUUAAGCAUAGAUGGAGAGAGUACUUCGACAAGCUGUUCAAUGGGGAGAAUGAGAGUUCUACCAUUGAACUG